UACAGAGGGUGCGAGCGUUAAUCGGAAUUACUGGGCGUAAAGAGCUCGUAGGCGGUUCAGCAAGUCGGCUGUGAAAGUCCGGGGCUCAACCCCGGAAUUGCAGUCGAUACUGCUGUGACUCGAGUCCGGUAGAGGAGAACGGAAUUCCCGGUGUAGCGGUGAAAUGCGCAGAUAUCGGGAGGAACACCCGUGGCGAAGGCGGCUCUCUGGGACGGUACUGACGCUGAGACGCGAAAGCGUGGGGAGCGAACAGG
This 254-nucleotide ribosomal RNA is filed under the name uncultured bacterium. RNAcentral's name for it is "partial 16S ribosomal RNA". It matches the Rfam family "Bacterial small subunit ribosomal RNA", at positions 524 to 776 of the family's 1533-position model. The record is from RNAcentral.